This 480-nucleotide ribosomal RNA is filed under the name uncultured bacterium. RNAcentral's name for it is "partial 16S ribosomal RNA". It matches the Rfam family "Bacterial small subunit ribosomal RNA", at positions 28 to 506 of the family's 1533-position model. The record is from RNAcentral.
GAUGAACGCUGGCGGCGUGCCUAACACAUGCAAGUCGAACGGAGAUUACGGACGGAAGUUUUCGGAUGGAAGACUGUAAUUCUUAGUGGCGGACGGGUGAGUAACGCGUGUGCAACCUGCCCUAUACAGGGGGAUAGCAGCUGGAAACGGCUGGUAAGACCGCAUAAGUCGGCGAGACCGCAUGGUUUUGCCGGGAAAUGAGCAAUCAGGUAUAGGAUGGGCCCGCGUCCGAUUAGCCAGUUGGCAGGGUAAAAGCCUACCAAAGCAACGAUCGGUAGCCGGACUGAGAGGUCGGACGGCCACAUUGGGACUGAGACACGGCCCAAACUCCUACGGGAGGCAGCAGUGGGGGAUAUUGCACAAUGGAGGAAACUCUGAUGCAGCGACGCCGCGUGAGUGAAGAAGUAUUUCGGUAUGUAAAGCUCUAUCAGCAGGGAAGAUGAUGAUGGUACCUGACUAAGAAGCCCCGGCUAACUACGU